Molecule: non-coding RNA, 113 nt
Organism: Acanthosepion pharaonis
Lineage: Eukaryota; Metazoa; Mollusca; Cephalopoda; Sepiida; Sepiidae
Source: the annotation of a GenBank genome assembly
UUACGGCCAUAUCAUGUUAAAACGCCGUUUCCCGUACGAUUACCGCAGUUAAGCAACAUCAUUUAAGUUAGUACCUUGAUGGGUGACCGCUUGGAAAUUCUAGACGCUGUAAG